RNAcentral lists this ribosomal RNA (453 nucleotides) under Trichiurus lepturus (Atlantic cutlassfish). RNAcentral describes it as "partial 16S rRNA". It matches the Rfam family "Bacterial large subunit ribosomal RNA", at positions 1947 to 2549 of the family's 2925-position model. Lineage: Eukaryota; Metazoa; Chordata; Actinopteri; Scombriformes; Trichiuridae. The record is from RNAcentral.
CGUGCAAGGUAGCGUAAUCACUUGUCUUUUAAUUAAGGACCCGUAUGAAUGACAAAACGAGGGCUCAACUGUCUCCUUCUUUUAGUCAAUGAAAUUGAUCUUCCCGUGCAGAAGCGGGGAUUCAUUCAUAAGACGAGAAGACCCUAUGAAGCUUUAGACAAUCGGACAUACCCUGUUAAUACACCCCCAUAAAAGGGCCAAAACCUACCCACCCAUGUCCCCGUCUUAGGUUGGGGCGACCCCGGGGAACAAAAACCCCCCACGUGGAAUAGUAGCAUCCGCUAUCCACAACCGAGAGCCACAACUCCAAAAACCAGAACCUCUGACCACAAAUAUGACCCGGCAAUGCCGAUCAACGAACCAAGUUACUCUAGGGAUAACAGCGCAAUCCCCUUUUUAGAGGCCGCAUCAACAAGGGGGUUUACGACCUCGAUGUUGGAUCAGGACAUCCUA